GGCUCAGGAUGAACGCUAGCUACAGGCUUAACACAUGCAAGUCGAGGGGAAACGAUAUUGGAAGCUUGCUUCUGAUAGGCGUCGACCGGCGCACGGGUGAGUAACGCGUAUCCAACCUGCCCAUCACUUGGGGAUAACCCGGAGAAAUCCGGCCUAAUACCUCAUAGCACAUAUUAUUCGCAUGAGUUUUAUGUUAAAGAGACUCGGUUACAGAUGAACAUGCGUUCCAUUAGCUGGUUGGCGGGGUAACGGCCCACCAAGGCAACGAUGGAUAGGGGUUCUGAGAGGAAGGUCCCCCACACUGGUACUGAGACACGGACCAGACUCCUACGGGAGGCAGCAGUGAGGAAUAUUGGUCAAUGGGCGAGAGCCUGAACCAGCCAAGUCGCGUGGAGGAAGACGGCCCUACGGGUUGUAAACUCCUUUUACCUGGGAAUAACGGGCGCUACGCGUAGCGCUGUGCAUGUACCGGGAGAAUAAGCAUCGGCUAAUUCCGUG
Molecule: ribosomal RNA, 498 nt
Filed under: uncultured bacterium
Lineage: Bacteria
Description: bacterial SSU rRNA
Rfam family: Bacterial small subunit ribosomal RNA
Source: RNAcentral